RNAcentral lists this non-coding RNA (70 nucleotides) under OM182 bacterium. Its description in RNAcentral is "Fluoride sequence". It matches the Rfam family "Fluoride riboswitch aptamer (crcB RNA motif)". The record is from RNAcentral. Lineage: Bacteria; Pseudomonadati; Pseudomonadota; Gammaproteobacteria.
UAAUUAAAAGGAAAUGGUGUUCUUCCUUGCCCAACCGCUUUUAAAAAAAGCUGAUGACGCCUGAUUAAAU